Molecule: long non-coding RNA, 8107 nt
Organism: Equus caballus (horse)
Lineage: Eukaryota; Metazoa; Chordata; Mammalia; Perissodactyla; Equidae
Source: RefSeq, a predicted model, not a curated record
GUUUUGCAUAUGCUGCCAGGUCCUGUGCUGAUAGCGAAGCUGAAUGCUAAAACCAUCUGUCAGGACCCAGGGGAGCUGGCUCUUAUUCACUGCUUCCUCAUGGUGUAAGGUCAAUACUACAACAAGCACUUCCAUCAUACAAGUCCUCUCUGCAAUGCAAAACAGUAUUUGUCUUCAGCAAUGCCAGCAACACUGUCUGCAAGCCUUCACGACAUCAGCUGUGCUUGUGUUUUGUUAUGAGGACUUACAGCAAGAGAUAUGGAGAAGCAUCCUGUAGGAUAGGACCUGAACAGCAUAAGUCACACCAGCAGAUGUGCAGAGUUUAUGUGAGUACUACCUGGUGAAUCCCAAGUGACACAACUGUUUGCGUGUGUGUGUGUGAGUGUGCAUAUAUUUGUAUGCCCAUGAUUUCUGAGGCCUUUAAACCUGAUGGCUCUAAAUCUGGGGUCCCUCUUGCCUAGAUGUCAUAAUGGUAGUGAUAGAAUUAGCCCAUAGGCUUACCAACUUUGUUGGAGUUUAAAAACAUUAGGGCCAGACAUUAUGUUCUUCCUAUAUGACAUAGACUGAAUGUUUACGUCCCCCCAAAAUUCACAUGUUGAAAUCUAAUUCCCAAUGUGAUGGUAUUUGGAGAUGGGGUCUUUGGGAAGUGAUUAGGUCAUGAGAGCAGAAUUAGUGUCCUUAUAAAAGAGGCCCCAGAGAGCUCCCUCACCCCCUUCCACCAUGUGAGGUUACAGUGAGAAGAUUACCAUUUAUGAGCCAGGAAGCAGGCCCUUGAUUUUGGACUUCCUAGCCUCUAGAACUGUGAGAAAUACAUUUCUGUUGUAUAUAAGUCACUAAGUCUAUGGUAUUAUUAUAGCAUGCUGAACAGACUAAGAUACUAUAAAAGAGAAAAUAGACCUACUUUAGGGCUGACACUGUGUUAAUCUUGGGGCUUCAAUGGUGAGCAAUAGGUAUGAUUUCUCUUAUUGGGGUCAUUACAAUCUAUUGAUGUAUAUACAUGUUAAACAGAUGAUUACUCAUAGCGUGUGUGCUAGGAACUAUAUAGCAAAGUUACAAGGUACGAUGGAUAUUCUGAUUGGUAGGGCAUAGGUCACUGCUAUGGUUGGGAAGGUGAGGUAUGAUUGUAACUGCAGGCCUUUCAGGACCAGUUCAACUGACCCCAUCUCUUAUGAACAGGGUUGAUUAAGAAUUGCCUUUCAGAAAAUCUGCAAAGUCACUUAGCCAGGGUAUGUGCAAAAGAAAAAAUUGUGACCUGAAACGACCUUGGAACCAAAUAUCCUCCUUCCCAUGGAAGCCAAAGACAGGAACAUGACCGGAAUUUGAAAGUCAGACUCUUAUCAGAAGAAAGAGGGUCUCUCAUUCAGGAAGAUCCAGUGUUAAAACUCCCUCCCCACCUCAUCAAAAAUGUUUAGAACGCCAUCAUAAAUGUUUAGAACCCUGUCAUAAAUGUCUAAAACCUUACUGUAAAUGCUAGAAUCCCACCAAUCAAAACCUGUCCCACCAGCAUUUCUGCAUGCUGGCCUCUUCUCCCUAACCUCUUCGAUUUUGCCCUAAAUCUUGAAUUAGAGAGACAAAUCUGAGGUCACACACCCCCUGUCUCCCUGCAGAUCAAUCUCACAGAAUUAAAGCUGAUUUCUCCCCUGAAGUCUGAUGCCAAAAUCCAUUGGCUUGUUUACACACAUCAGGCUGAGAAUCUCAAUUUUGUGCAGUAACAUGAUGAAGGCUGGUUUCCACCAGACACAUGUAUUACCAUUGAAGAAGGUGGUUUCCCAAAGUCAGAGGACUCUGUUUAUAUAAAGAUGGUCCUCUACUAUGAGAAUCAACAUUUAAGAACAUUCCUGAACAAUGAGUAUGAGUUGGUCAGGGCUGGUGUCUUAUAUUUGAACUUUAUUGCCACAUAAUUUAUACUUGGAGCCAUGAGAAUGCAUGAGGACCCUACUGACAAAGUACGGAGUGACUAUCAUUGAGAAGAGUGUCCAGAACGAUUUUAGCAUUUAUCAUCAGGCAAACAAAACUGAGACCCACUGGCCAGAAAACAAAGUUUGAUUAGAAUGCGUAAAGCAAUUUCAGAGUGCCCUUGGCAGAGGCUGUACCCUUAAUAUGUUUAGUUGAAUUAUGAAUCAUGCUUCUGUAGCUCUCUAGACUUCCAAAGUGUCAUUGUGCUCUGGGGACUGAUUGUCCCGACAGAUGUUUAACCAGGCCUCCAGGACAAAAAGAAUUCAAACAAGUUAAUGAAAUCUUUAUUAUUAACUUGGGAAAUUUUAGAACAAAUUUCUGAGAGAGGACCAACAAAUAAGUACAUCAGCUAAAGGAAUCCAACAUCCUAACUAUAUCAAUAAUUUGGAAAUGAUGAGCCAAAUAUGACAUUUAAUAUGUAUUAACGUAGAGUUUGAAUACUUGGGUUCAAGAAAUAAGUAGCAAAUCUAAGAGGACACACUAGCUCAGUAGCAUCACAUGCGAUUUAGGGACUUAAAUUUUCUGUAAGCUUAGUGUGAGCCAACAGUAAAAGAUGGCUGCCCAACAUGCUCGAACAAUUUCAAAGUACUUUAACAGGAGCAUAACCUCUAGAGUGAAGGAGGUAAUAUGUUUGAUCUUUUGAGUUUUAGACAGGCAAGUAAAAGGUAUGAUGCUAAACCAGAAAACAUUUAGAGGAUAAUUACAAGAAAGAUGAGAGUACAUAAAACGAGAGGAUAUUUAUUCCAUAAAGGAGAAAACUCAGUUGUCUUUAUGUGAAAAAUUUUCUUGAAAAACUAGGUUAGACUUGUUCUUUAGGUCCUGGCUUCCAUUUAAAUAAGGUUGUCAAGAAAGGAAAGUUGGGGCAAGUGACAUUUUAUCAGAGAUGUGAGGAAAGUGAUGAAUUGGGCAGAAUAAAGAUCUGGGGGGAAAUAAGUAUAAUGAGAAAACAGCCACUGUACAGCCUGAGGCAGGAAUGAGAAAAAGGUUUGGAAAAAUAGCAAGAUUCUAUACAUACAUACAUGAGUUAAAAAUAACAUGGGUGUGCAUACACACAUGUACAUUUAACUGUAUGUGUGCUCUGAAAAAUUGUUUCACCAAAGAGGAGUCUAGGGUCUUAUGUUAAGGGUACACGCUCAUGGUGGAAGAAAGACGACUCGAAGCAUUUCAGCAAUGAUGUCCCUUUAAACUAAUUAGUGCUGCUUUCCUAAAGGGUGGUUCAAUGAGGGCAAUUAAUCCUUCAAUUGUUUUUCUAGAUUAUAUCAUUGAAAAUAAACAAUACAACUUUAUUUAGAGUUAGCGUUAUAAUGAUUGUUUGAACAUUAUUCCCUAUCCAUUUAGGCAAAAUUGUGAUUCGAUUUCAUUUUCUAUGUGAAAUAGGAAGACUGAGAAAAAGAAAAAAAAGAAUACAGUAAACAGUUGACCAUUCAAAGGCAGAUUAUUGCAGUUUAUCUGCAAAUAUUUCUCAAGUUUUUGGUUGACGUGCUUAUCACCAACUUUGCAAAAUUAACUCCUUUGUUUACACUGUCUUGCCUUCUCUGCUCUCAGGAGAUUAUUUCAGGAUGAUUUCCUUGUGUGGAUUUCAAUCAGACUUCUGGAGUCCCAAAUUACCCUUUUCUUCAUUAUAAUUUCAUGAGGAGAGUCUUAAAGAUCAUAUCAGAUCCCUUCUCAUGUGUGAGUACUGCUUUGAGUCUGAUUAAAUAAAUGAAAAAAUCAUUUAAAAUUUAGCAGAUGAGCUCAUAGAGGGAAAGAGAGAACAAAAGCAAGUCUGUGGUCCAACAAAACCUCUUGUUUUUCUACAACAUAAAUAGCUCCCUAAAGUCAUAGGCCCUUUUACAAAGCGUAUUCAUAUAUACCAGUUUGAUCUUCACAAAGAGAUUUUGCUAGAAUGGGUAUCGUAUAUAUUAAUUUGAUCAGGAAACAAAUUCAUAGAUUUUCAGCAACUUUAUCAAGUAAGUAGAAGAGUAAGAACCGGAACUACUGGUUUCUUCCUUCCAGCUCCAGGUUGUUUACACUUUCCUAGAAAUGUUUUACUGAAAAACGGAAUAAGCUAAUCAAUUAAGAACAGACAAGAGAUUUUCACAUAUUGAGGUAUGUAGGGUAACUAUUCAGGUUCAAAACUGAUUCGGCAUGAACUCAAAAGCCUGACUUAUGGCCUGUCAAACAUACAUUGUACAUCUGCUUAACCAUUAAAGAAUGCCCUUUGUUAAGGUAAGAAAGCAGACUUCCCCUCCUACGCCCUGUUGGUAACACUCCAUUAGUAAAGCUCAGAUUAGUCCCUUUCUGGAAGUGGGCGUCAUGUUAACCUACUAAUUUGCAACUAAAGAUCUCUUUGAAACUUUGAUGAAAAUCUAUCCUAGGUGGUGUUUAUUGGAUGUUCCUUGUUCUAAAAAGAUAUAAGACUGUACUGAAAACCAUGCUUCUCUGGAACACUUUCUAAGGCCUUCCUGGGUUGUAAUCCUCGCUCUGGCUCAGGCAAAACUCACCUUAUUUCUCUUAUCCAUACAAUGAUUAUUGGCUAUUUUUCAUCAACAGAACAAAGAAUGAUCUAAGCAAACAGAUAUCAAUUUCUACAACAUUUGACGUUAUAAACUUUCCCUACUUUUUGAAACCGUGUUCCCUUGGCUUCCCAGACCCUGGAAUCCACUCAGUCUUCUUCUAAUCCUUCUUUUGAAUUCCUUUUGCUGAUUUAUCCUUUCGUGCUCUGACACUCAGGGUUCCAUAGGAUUUAUUCUUGCUUCUCUUUGCAGCCUGCACACUCCUCCCUAAGGAUCUCAAAUUUCUAUUUCCAGAAUUCACCUGCCUUCCCAAGUUCCAGUCUAUUCUGAGCAGAUAUAUCAUCGGUUGACGUAGGUGUGGUUUUGUAAGGAUGGGAAUUAGAGAAACCUGAAAAUGUUUACAAAAACAAUUUACUGGAAUGCAAAAGAAGUCAGCUAAAAAUAAGUAAAAGAAGCUUCAGCAGCAUUGAGGAACAAACUUAACUUGUAAUCUAAGGCUUUGUGGUGAAACCGAUCGUUCCAAGAAUUUUCAAAAUUCCAGCAUAAGAAGCUGAGAAAACUAACAUGAUUAUCAAGGAGAAGGAGAAAGGAUCUCAAGGAUGGGGGUCCCUGUCACCUAAGUGGUCAGGACCAAAGAGCAUCGUGAUACAAGCCUGGGAGGAAUGUAGAAUUGUCUGUUACUUCACUGCUGUGACUCUGGCACCUAUAAUCACGCUAGCAUACAGUAGUUGUUUAAUCAGCAUUUAUAUGAAUGAAUAAAUAAAUAGAAGCUGGAAGAACUAUCGCUGACAAUGCAUGUGAUGGAUAUUCUAGAAGAGUUUUUCAUUAAGUUCCAUAUUCUUUAAAACAUAGGCAGUUUUAAAAAUGAUUAGUUUGAGAAUGAACCUGUCCAGUGUGUUAUUCUUCCUUCCUUUAACUGAACAUAAUCAUCAAAUUCUAUGACAAUGUCAAAAACCCUGUAUUUGGCAAGGGUAAAUUUGAAAAGAAUGUUGAAUGAUAAAUAAUGUGUGCUUUUACUUCUUGACCAAAUAAGAUUGGUAUUGAUUUUUUUGUGUGUUUAAAGCAAAAUGUUUUAUUCCUCUUUCGAUUUAUUCUUUCCAGCUCGUUUAUUGUUGAUGGAGAACAGUAAGUACCAACUAUAAUUUUGUUAGACCAUGGAUCUCUUGUUAUCAGUGACAAUUCUGAGAGUAUCAGAGUGAAAAUGAAGUGUGUUGAGAGGACCAGGUAAUCGUUACGCCUAAGGGAUAUUCCGGUGCAAUUUUUAGACAGCUUGCUUUAACGACUAAAUGGUUUUAUUUUUUUGUGUUGUACUUAUUACUAAUUAAAAUUUUGAUAUUGGUGUUUUUGAGACACAAAAAUAUAUUUGCUUCAGUGCAGUGUUAUGAUUGGCCUGCCUUGAUCACACGCCUCUUCUCUAGUUAGGAAAAGGUGGGGAGUCUAAUAGGCUCACUUGAUUUUAUCCAAAGGGAAAAGAAAAGAUCCCCAGAGGAUAGUGGGGACUGACAGAAAGAGAAAAACACUAUUUUUUGGUCUGAUUGUUUUAUUAAAUAACUGCCUUAAUUCCAUUUUUUACAUGCGGCUAGAAUUGCAGUUUCAGAGAACUAGGAAGCAAGAAUUAAAGGAAGGGAAUGGGGAUCUUUAGCCAAAGACAAAAAGACUGAGAGGAGUUAGGGUUCAUUCACUUUAGUGACAUUGCUUAAUGAAAAUAAAACACAAUAUUUACACUGCAAGAUCACAAAUUUGUGUUUCUAUAGUACUAACAAAAUAUAACUGGUAUUUUGCAAUAUUAAUUAGAUAAUAACUGAAACAAAAAUUUGUCUACAAUAUUCAACAGUCUUCAUUCAACAUUGAAAACAUGGUCACACAUUUCACUUAUCAUUGGUUAAAGAAAAUCCACACUCUCUUUUCUUUGUAAAUUUAACUUUUCUGAAGACAUACCCACAGAUAAUCAACUAUGGCCUCCAUAUUACUAAAAACAUUUACUUUCAUUUCAACCAAACACUUUUUUGGGGAAAAAAGAUUUUAAUUUCCUCUAUUUUUGAAGUCUCGUAGAAGGAGGACUUCGAACUCAGUGGCAACCAGGGUGGAGGUUGAAAGGAAAAGUGGGCCAACAUUCAGAAACAAUUCUGUCCUAUUCUAUUUCCUUAGGCCAGUAGAACCAUAGCAACAAAUAAUUUUUGAGUUAUACAAAUCCCUGAGCUAAUCCUUUAUUAAUGUGCUCGUCUAAUUAGCUCUAUAAAUAGUAUAUGAAUGAAUGAAUGAAAAUUAAAUUAAUAAGUGCAUAAACUAAAACAAAAUAAUAGCCUUUAUAGAAUAAACAAUUAUUGCUUCACUGAGGGAAAACAUUAAUACAUAUGAAUUGCUUUUAGAAAAACUUUUCACACCGCUUACUCUCUUUUGAAAUUUACUUAAAUGCUUUUUAUUUAUAACUAUAUAUUUUGACUUAUAGAAAGUAAUAUAACCAGCGAUAGACUGCAAAAUUGGUCCCAAACUCUUCCCUUCCCAUCAAGAGGUAGAUUUUCUGCCCUUGCUUCUGGCUGCUAUGCAGCCUUCUUGGACCAAUCAGACAUUAGCAGGCGUGUCAUAAGUAGAGGCUUGAAAAAUGCUUAUAAAUUGGUGUUUACUCUUUUUGACUCUUGGAACUCUCCCUGCGUUCUGUAAAAAACCCUUAGAUAGCCUGAUAGGGAAUGAGUGAUUCCACGCAGCAGAGAGACAAGCAGUCCCAGCUGAGUUCCCUGUCCAUCUACCCACCAACCUGCCCUCAGCUGGCCUGGCAGCUAAUUGCAGGUCCAAGUGUAAUACCAGGUGAACCAGAAGAACUGCCCAGCUGAGGCAAAUAGUCAUUGUUUUAAUCCAUCAAGUUUGGAGUAGUUUGUUACACAGCACUAGAUAACUCACACAGAAAUUGGUAUUUAGAAGCAGAGUGUUCCCAUAACAGAAAAUUUGUAUUAUUGGAGGGCAAGUAGAAAAUUAUUAAAGAUGCUGUUUGCAAAGGCUGGAAAAAUGUUAAGUAAACUUUGUGGAGGCUGGAAAGAUGGCAAGAAAAUGGAUAUGGCAUACUGGAAAAAAAAAGAUCAUUCAUGUGUGUGGUGAGACAACUGGCUAAGCUGUCAACUGUAAUAACUUGGAGAUAGAAAUGGACUAAUGAGCUUGUGUCAUUGGCAAGGUGAUCUCCAAACAGAAUGCUGAAGUGUCCAUUGCUUUCUUUUAGCUGCCUCUGAUAAAUAAUUCCAGGAAGAAAGAGACAAAUUAAAGAAAGAAUGGUUCAGUUUACAAGAAGAAUUCAGAGGGAAUAUAAAUGGACCAGGAUGUGAGGAUCUGGAAAAUGAAACUGUUUGUCUUUAGCCAAGGACAGAACUUAAAAUAAAUAAAAACCUGGAAGAUGAAAUCCAAAGCAUUGCCAAUAAAACUUGGCAUCACGGUCAUAAUGAUUAAAGAGAGUCAUGGCAUCAGAUCAAAUCAAGGAUAUGGCCUUAAAACUGUUUGUUAAGACCUCUAAAGAUUUAAGGAGACUGAUGUAUCCAAAAUAGAGAAAAGCCUGUGUGGAAAACAAAUGGGGAUGUAAUUUUUAUCAAAUGUAAUGGCCUAUUAUCUGAUACAAGGGAGUUGUAUCAGUAAAAGGGUCCCAGCUUGAAAUAAAGAGACUGAGAAAAUUA